GACGAACGCUGGCGGCGCGCCUAACACAUGCAAGUCGAACGGAGCUGAGAGAAGCUUGCUUUUCUUAGCUUAGUGGCGAACGGGUGAGUAACGCGUGAGUAACCUGCCCUGGAGUGGGGGACAACAGUUGGAAACGACUGCUAAUACCGCAUAAGCCCACGAUCCGGCAUCGGAUUGAGGGAAAAGGAUUUAUUCGCUUCAGGAUGGACGCGCGUCCAAUUAGCUAGUUGGUGAGGUAACGGCCCACCAAGGCGACGAUUGGUAGCCGGACUGAGAGGUUGAACGGCCACAUUGGGACUGAGACACGGCCCAGACUCCUACGGGAGGCAGCAGUGGGGGAUAUUGCACAAUGGGGGAAACCCUGAUGCAGCGACGCCGCGUGGAGGAAGAAGGUUUUCGGAUUGUAAACUCCUGUCGUUAGGGACGAUAAUGACGGUACCUAACAAGAAAGCACCGGCUAACUACGUG
This 468-nucleotide ribosomal RNA is filed under the name uncultured bacterium. RNAcentral's name for it is "partial 16S ribosomal RNA". It matches the Rfam family "Bacterial small subunit ribosomal RNA", at positions 28 to 507 of the family's 1533-position model. The record is from RNAcentral.